AUUAAGUGUACUAGAAGUACAUUGGUAAUAAAUAUAUGCUUUAUUACAUUUUUAAGAAAUAUGCUAAACUUAAGAAUAUUUUUAAUGUAUUUAUAUUAAGUGUACUAAAAGUAUGCUGGUAAUAAAUAUAUGCAUAAUUACACUUUUAAGAAAUAUGCUAAACACAAAUGUACUUCUAGUGAAGUUUUAGUAUAUUUGGAUAAAACAUACUUUUUUCAAAACAUGAUUCAUUAAUUGUAAUAAGCUAACAUUGAACUUUCCUCAAGCCUUUCAACAUUAUAUCAUUCCGAUUGCACAAUAAGCUAUUUUUUCAAAGAUUUGCUUAAAAUCUUACUUGUUUAAUUUCAAAAUCUUACUUGUUUAAUUUCAAACAACACACGUGACACACGUGACUAAACCUGAUUGGUUGUUGUCAUAGUAACACGUCACGGUGCUAUUUGAAACUUGUUCAGUUUAGUUCAGUUGUUCACGGUGCAUGCGGUUGCUUGCAUUAAACGUAUAAACUGUUAAAUUAGAUGGCGACUCUGCAUUAAACGUAUUUAUUUAAUUAAUCGGCGAUCAUAUUUCACCAGAGGACUAAGAUAAAACAACUCGAUUUAAAAUAUGAGCAGUUUUAGUGGAUCUGACGUUGAGGGAAAAAGUAUUUCGCUUUUUGUUUGGAGAUGAACGAGAUAACACGAGGCACAGCGACAUAAAUAUGACCAACCAGAUCCCAAGUAGACAGGAACAAAUGAAGAUAUAGCGCAUAGAAAGACUUAUUCUUGGUGAUCGACUGCUAUUGACAUUUUUGAAUCGGGGCAAAUGUGGAGUGAAGAAAAACGUUUGCAACACAUCCAUUCCAGAGUGCUCUGACAGAUAAAACUGACACGCUUGAUGAGGACACAGUCAAAGCUUUAAAAGCCUGUGUGAUAAAGCAGUCUUCAAUUACUACGGUGUCUGAAUUGCAAGAAGAAGUCACCCUCCACUUAAACAUGUGACAUCUAAACUGUUUUGUGUUUUAGUUCAGCUUUUUAUAGGUUUAUCUUAAGUUGGUUAAAGGCAGAGUGCACUAUUUUUGAAAGCCAAUGUUAACAUUUGAAAUUACCUAAACAAACAUGCCUCUACCCCAAUAGAAUCGGGACCUUCUUUUGAUAGAGCCACCACACACAUACGCAACCCCGGCAAGGAUGUCAGUUAGUAGACACGCCCCUUACUGCUGGUUGGCUACAAAGUGUGUUUUGGUAGUCGGCCCAAUUUCCUUUUACAAAGCGUUUUUCAAACAUUGUGCACUCCGUCUUUAAAUUGCACUUAAACAUUUUUUUUCAUUAACUUUUUAUGCAGAGAAUUACAUUAUGAUUAUUAUAUAAUCAUUGCUUAUGAAUAUUUAGUGAUUGCAUAUUCAUAGUGUACUUUUCAUUAAUACAUUUAAUGUUAAUGUUGUACAAUUUGAUAGAAGUAGCUCUGUAAUUGCAUUUCUCUGAUAUUUGUUUU
Long non-coding RNA from Paramisgurnus dabryanus, 1470 nucleotides. RefSeq lists it as uncharacterized. The record is from RefSeq and is a predicted model, not a curated record. Lineage: Eukaryota; Metazoa; Chordata; Actinopteri; Cypriniformes; Cobitidae.